RNAcentral lists this ribosomal RNA (482 nucleotides) under uncultured bacterium. Its description in RNAcentral is "bacterial SSU rRNA". It matches the Rfam family "Bacterial small subunit ribosomal RNA", at positions 328 to 803 of the family's 1533-position model. The record is from RNAcentral.
GAAUUCAACUCCUACGGGAGGCAGCAGUCGAGAAUAAUUCACAAUGGGGGCAACCCUGAUGGUGCAACGCCGCGUGGAGGAUGACAGUCUUCGGAUUGUAAACUCCUGUCAUCCGGGAGUAAGACCUGGCUGUGAAUAGCAGACAGGGUUGAUAGUACCAGAAGAGGAAGGGACGGCUAACUUCGUGCCAGCAGCCGCGGUAAUACGAAGGUCCCGAGCGUUGUUCGGAAUCACUGGGCGUAAAGGGAGCGUAGGCGGCGUGGUAAGUCAGAUGUGAAAUCCCGGGGCUCAACCCCGGAACUGCAUCCGAUACUGCAGUGCUAGAGGAUUGGAGAGGUAGCUGGAAUUCUUGGUGUAGCAGUGAAUGCGUGGAUAUCAAGAGGAACACUCGUGGCGAAAGCGAGCUACUGGACAACUCCUGACGCUGAGGCUCAAAGGCCAGGGUAGCGAAAGGGAUUAGAAACCCUAGUAGUCCAGGCGUU